CUAGCAUUAAAUAUCAUUCAAUAGUUUUUUUGAUUGUUAAUAAAUUAUAAAUGGUAUAAUGUAACCUUUAUUUGUACCUUAAUGAUUCCUUUUAAUAUUAUUUAUGCAUAAAUAUUUGCAAACAGUUACUACACAAAAUAGUUCGUUAAUUAUUAUAUUUUUCUUGUUAACAUGUUUUUAUUUCAUUUUAUAGUUAUAUUUAUAGUAUAUUUUAGCAAUUUUUCAACUUAGGUGCUUUUGUGUGAAUCUUUUUGACUUGUAUGUAUCCACCCUUUUAUAAAAUAGUUCCGUCCAUUUUUAUUAUGAAAUGUUUGUGUACCUUUUGCUUUGUGAGUCAUUUUUUAUGAUAAGCAUUCCAUAAGUAUUUGUACUGAUUUAUUAUUAAUAUGUUAAACAAAUUUGUAAUAAUCAUAAUCAAAUUCAGUUUCUUGAAGAAAUUGUUGCAGCAACACAAUUUUGCAUUGUACCUAAGGUUUUAGAUAAGGUCUUAUCUAAAGUAUCUAGUACUUUAAUGACUAAAUUAUUGUUCAGAUUUCUCAUCAGCAGGAAAAUUUCAAACUUUGGUUCUCUUUCAUGAUUAUGACUUUAGCUAACAUUUGAUUAUACGAAUCAAGACCAAUUAUCAUUUUGAAUUUUCUUUUCCUCCUUUGAGAAAAAGAACUUUGUACGCAAUUUUACAUAUCUGACAAAAUAUGUAGGGGAAAUAACUCUGUAAUAAUUAUUUUUAAAAGUUUUCUACUUUGAUAAUGUUUAUUUACUUCAUGUAUUUAAAGUAUGAUAAAUUUAUCUUAAGAAACUCAUAUGACCUCAUUUGAUUGUAAUA
Molecule: long non-coding RNA, 823 nt
Filed under: Mytilus galloprovincialis (Mediterranean mussel)
Lineage: Eukaryota; Metazoa; Mollusca; Bivalvia; Mytilida; Mytilidae
Source: RNAcentral